RNAcentral lists this long non-coding RNA (1276 nucleotides) under Homo sapiens (human). RNAcentral's name for it is "LNC_000351". The record is from RNAcentral. Lineage: Eukaryota; Metazoa; Chordata; Mammalia; Primates; Hominidae.
AGAAAAUUCAGGCUUGGGCCGAGCACGUUGUUUCAUGCCUGUAGUCCCAGAUUGCUGGGAUUACAGGCGUGAGCCACUGCGCCCAGCUGUGUUUGAGUUCUGUAGUAAACUGUCCGGUAGGUUUAAUUUGCUCAAGCGAUGAGGAAAAGACUUGCACUUUGUGCCUCCUGGGAAAGAGACUAACGUCUUCAACAUACCUUAUGGCAGAUAUUUAAUUUCAGAGUAGAGACCCCACUCUGAUGCCUGGUAAGGUUAUUGGAAGUGAAAUAUCACAAGAUCUUACAGUUUGUUGUGAGAUAAGGUAGGAUUUGGUGAGGAGUAACAAAUACUAGCAGAUUUCGGCCCAAACUUCAAUUAUAGCUAAACAUUACUGGAAAAAACCCCACAACCUACUUUAUGUAACAUAUAACUACUCACACACAUACACAAAAAUAAUACACACACAAUUUCAGCAAACACAAAUAAUAAUUUAAAGAAACAAAUUCAAAAUUAGAGCCAGGUAUGGUGGCACAUGCCUGAAAUCCCAGCUACUUGGGAGGAUCCCUGAAGACGAGAAGUUCCAGGCUGUAAUGCGCUAUGAUGGCUCCUGUGACUUGCCACUGCACUCCAGUCUGGCAACAUAGCCAGAGUCCAUCUCGUUCAAAAACAAAAACAAACAAACAAAAAACGGCGAAAUGAAGGCUCAGCCCUCAUCAGGUUUAGGUGACAGAGCUAGACCCUGUCUAAGAAAAAAAAUAAAAUUAAAUGAAAAUUCGUUAUCAGACAGUAAAGCAUGAACCCACAGUGCUGGUCAAGUCACUGCAGAUCUGAGUGUGUAUCAAGGUUUAACUCCAUAAGAUGAAAAGCAGGCAAUGAAUCUUUGGCCUGGGUGUUGACAGUCUAGGCUCAAGCCUCAGCUUUCCCACUCAUUAGCUUGCUGACCUUGGACAAGUCACUUAUAUUCUCUGAACUUACUCAUGAAACGGAGAUACAUUUCAUCUGCCUCUCGCAAGAAAAAGUCCUGGUAAAUACACAUUAGCAUUUCCGUUUUACACAGAACACUGACAGAUACUUUCCUAAGAUCAUGGAGUUAAUAACCACCAGAACCUAGACUCAAUACUUAUGGAACUUCAAAUCUCAUGCUUUUCUCAUUGCACUUAUGAUUACUCCAUUAUGUAGGAGCAAGGGAGAGUUGAGAGCAUUUGAAGAGGUUAUGCAAAGGACCAGCUCUGAGGAGUAGGCUUAGCAAAGUAACAUGAGGGAAGGUAACACCGUUCAUCUGUGUAGCGGAGUGGGA